RNAcentral lists this ribosomal RNA (426 nucleotides) under uncultured Bellilinea sp. RNAcentral's name for it is "bacterial SSU rRNA". It matches the Rfam family "Bacterial small subunit ribosomal RNA", at positions 943 to 1382 of the family's 1533-position model. The record is from RNAcentral. Lineage: Bacteria; Bacillati; Chloroflexota; Anaerolineae; Anaerolineales; Anaerolineaceae.
GGUUUAAUUCGAUGCUACACGAAGAACCUUACCAGGGUUUGACAUACAAGUAGUAGGGAAAGGAAACUGGACCGACCCUUCAGGGAGCUUGUACAGGUGCUGCAUGGCUGUCGUCAGCUCGUGUCGUGAGAUGUUCGGUUAAGUCCGCUAACGAGCGCAACCCUCGCUGUGUGUUACAAGUGUCACACGGAACUGCCGGUCAUAAACCGGAGGAAGGUGGGGAUGACGUCAAGUCCUCAUGGCCCUUAUGCCCAGGGCUACACACGUGCUACAAUGGGCGGUACAAAGGGUAGCGAUGCCGCGAGGUGAAGCCAAUCCCAAAAAGCCGUCCACAGUUCGGAUUGGAGUCUGCAACUCGACUCCAUGAAGCCGGAAUCGCUAGUAAUCGUGGAUCAGCAUGCCACGGUGAAUACGUUCCCGGGCCUU